RNAcentral lists this ribosomal RNA (486 nucleotides) under uncultured bacterium. RNAcentral's name for it is "partial 16S ribosomal RNA". It matches the Rfam family "Bacterial small subunit ribosomal RNA", at positions 28 to 507 of the family's 1533-position model. The record is from RNAcentral.
GAUGAACGCUGGCGGCGUGCCUAAUACAUGCAAGUCGAACGCUGGAAAUCUAGCUUGCUAGAUUGAAGGAGUGGCGAACGGGUGAGUAAUACAUAAGCAACCUACCCACGAAGACUGGGAUAAUCUCUGGAAACGGGGACUAAUACCGGAUAGGUAAUCGGAAGGCAUCUUCUGAUUAUUAAAGGUUAAAAACACUGGUGGAUGGGCUUAUGGCGCAUUAGUUAGUUGGUGAGGUAACGGCCCACCAAGACGAUGAUGCGUAGCCGGCCUGAGAGGGUGAACGGCCACAUUGGGACUGAGACACGCCCCAGACUCCUACGGGAGGCAGCAGUAGGGAAUUUUCGGCAAUGGGGGAAACCCUGACCGAGCAACGCCGCGUGAGUGAUGACGGCCUUCGGGUUGUAAAGCUCUGUUGUAAGGGAAGAACGGUAGAUAGAGAAUAUCUAAAUGACGGUACCUUACCAGAAAGCCACGGCUAACUACGUG